GCUGAUGCGUUGUUGGGUAGGGGAGCGUUCUGUAAGCCUGCGAAGGUGGCCUGUGAGGGUUGCUGGAGGUAUCAGAAGUGCGAAUGCUGACAUAAGUAACGAUAAAGCGGGUGAAAAGCCCGCUCGCCGGAAGACCAAGGGUUCCUGUCCAACGUUAAUCGGGGCAGGGUGAGUCGACCCCUAAGGCGAGGCCGAAAGGCGUAGUCGAUGGGAAACGGGUUAAUAUUCCCGUACUUGGUGUUACUGCGAAGGGGGGACGGAGAAGGCUAUGUUGGCCGGGCGACGGUUGUCCCGGUUUAAGCGUGUAGGUGUGUGUUCCAGGUAAAUCCGGUUCACUUUAACACUGAGGCGUGACGACGAGGCACUACGGUGCUGAAGCAACAAAUGCCCUGCUUCCAGGAAAAGCCUCUAAGCAUCAGGUAACACGAAAUCGUACCCCAAACCGACACAGGUGGUCAGGUAGAGAAUACCAAGGCGCUUGAGAGAACUCGGGUGAAGGAACUAGGCAAAAUGGUGCCGUAACUUCGGGAGAAGGCACGCUGACACGUAGGUGAAGUGAUUUACUCA
This 567-nucleotide ribosomal RNA is filed under the name Salmonella enterica. RNAcentral's name for it is "partial 23S ribosomal RNA". It matches the Rfam family "Bacterial large subunit ribosomal RNA", at positions 1213 to 1772 of the family's 2925-position model. RNAcentral also lists the same sequence under 1 other name. The record is from RNAcentral. Lineage: Bacteria; Pseudomonadati; Pseudomonadota; Gammaproteobacteria; Enterobacterales; Enterobacteriaceae.